CCCCCUCUCUGUACACAUUUUCAUUUUCUUGUACAGCUUCUCUCUCACUGUGAAAUUCCGUUACCGCCUUUUCGUUACAUCUCUUCUCCUUGGUUUCUCAGCUUUGAAUUCGUUCGACGAUCUGCGUUUUGAUUAUGGAUUCGAGUGUUUUCGUUGAGCGAUUCGCUUCCGAUCUUCGAUUCAGAGAUAUGUGGUUCAAGACUCAUCCUUUCUUCGGUCAUGGGUGAAUUGACUGGAAAUCGAAAGAUCCAUCGAGACUCUUGAUGUUUGUUCUGAACCAUUGGUGCUCGGGCUUUGUACGUCUGGUUCGAUGCGAAACCUUGCUGUCUUUCUGAAAUUCUUGAGAUCUAAAACGCUUGGUUAGAUCGGUGCAAUCAAUUCAGAUCUCGUGAUUCUUUAUGGAUUCAGAUCGGAUUUUGAUAUGACGCUGUGAAGGAUUGCUAAAGUGUUUCUUUAUGCUUUUUUUGAUGGGCUUUCUUUUGUCAUCUUCUUGGUAUAACAAAGAAGAUAGUUUGUGUGUGUGUGUCUUCGGUGUAUACCAGAGAGGUAUAGCCUAGGGUAACAAAAAAAAUGUGAGAUGUGUAAUGUUCUACUGGUUGUCAAUCGACCUUUGCCAUGUCAGGUGCGCUUGCUUGGCAGGU
Non-coding RNA from Camellia sinensis, 641 nucleotides. The record is from RefSeq and is a predicted model, not a curated record. Lineage: Eukaryota; Viridiplantae; Streptophyta; Magnoliopsida; Ericales; Theaceae.